GUUUCAGGACUGGUCGUUGUUCGGCAUGCCAAGGGUUCGGCCUGAGAGUCCGGCUCGGAUUUGGAAGCCUAAGAUCUCGGGGCUCUGGAGAUGGGUGAAUCGAGGGUCAGUGUCACGGCAGGAGACCCAUGUGUCGUCAGGGGAGCUGGAAAAUCUUCUGCUGUGUGCCCAAAGACCCAGGAUCUUUGAGAUCUUUGAGAAAAGAGCUUGGAAAAGCAAUAUACGCGUCUGGCGCUUUUUAAAAAACUCAACCGCCUUGCUUUUCUUCUGAAGAAAAAUAGUGCUGCACUUUAACAGGUCUCAGCAUUAUGCAGGGAGCCACAUCAGAAGCACCGGAUACAGAAGAUGACCCCAACAGAUGAUCCCGGGAGGAUAUGAAUUAUUGACUUUCGAAGAACUUUCAACAGCUCUGCAUUUGGUGGACCUGGGAGCAGAUAGAUCUGGGUGUUCUGCAAAAGGUUAGCAUUCAUCUGCAGCAAGUGAAUAGCAAAAUGGCAAAGUUGUUUAUUGCAAUGGGUACUAAACAUAAAAGUAAGAGAAAUCUUUUAUUUUUUUCUGCCCAUUAUAAGCUGGAGUGCAGUUUACAAUGUUGGUCUCCAUAUUUAAAGAAAGAAUGUUAAUGCUUUGGAAGAACAUUAACAUUAACAUUAAGAGAAGGUUUACAAAACUGAUGUCUGGAAUGGACAGAUUGUCUUCCGAAGAGAAGCCUACAUGCUAGGCUUGUAUCCAGGAGAGUAUAGAAGGGUGAGAGGGAACCUAACUGAAACAUCACAAAUUUUUUAAUAAAUUUUUUUAUUGAAUUUUCAAAUGGUUACAAAAGGAAAAAAAAUGUAUCAACCCUUCCCCCCUCCCCCUAACAUAUCCCUGUAGAAAGAGAAAAAAAAGAAAGAAAGAAAGAAUGCCUGGAUAUUGGAAGAUCCCCACACGCUCCUUGGAGUUCAUAAUAGCUUUAGUAUAUAUAUUUAUUUCCUUCCCCAAGUAACCAAUAAUU
Hypanus sabinus (Atlantic stingray) is the source of this 991-nucleotide long non-coding RNA. RefSeq lists it as uncharacterized. The transcript has 3 exons. The record is from RefSeq and is a predicted model, not a curated record. Lineage: Eukaryota; Metazoa; Chordata; Chondrichthyes; Myliobatiformes; Dasyatidae.